UUUUUUUGUUUUCAUCUUCCCCGCUGCUAAUUGUCGGGCUUCUCUUUCGGGAUUGGCUGCGCUUCCCAUCCAUAAUAUAAUUAAACCCAACGAGGAAGCAGCCCCCCUCCCAGUCCGGCGCUUGCUGAAGCUAAUGCGGAUAUUUAAGAAGAUUUAACUUCGCCAGAUGUAAGACUUAGUGUAUUUGCAAAUUGCAAUAAGUUCAUUGGAAGUUCUGUUUUAUCUGACUGUUGGCCAAAGGGAAUGAUGUUGACACUUUAUCAGGUUGUGAAGCUUGCUGCAAACUAAAGAAUAAACAGUACAAAUCUGCCUGCAUACAAGCACAGCUAAAGCUUGUUGAGUGUUGUUCGCAUUCUCCCUGCCUGAAACCAGUUUUCCCAUCAACUGGGGUCAUCUGUCCUUGUGGAGAUCUGCCAACUUUACUACUAGUGAGGAUCCAAGGAGAAAAGGAUAUGCCCUGUAGAAGCCCAAGACCUCCUAAGAAUGGCAGCCUCCAUCUAUGUUUCCAGGAGACUAUCUUUCUCUGAGUUGGACUUCUCCUGGACCAAAGUCCUCCAUGACAGAUAGAGCUAACACAAGCUAGUCCCUGAUGUGUGCCUUCAAGUUGUCUCAUGGCAACCCUAAAGGAUGUCUUAUCCUUCUUCUGAGGAUGAGAGAAUGGGACUUGAACCCGCUGUGCUUCCACAGCAAAGCAGAGAUGCAAAGCCUGGUCUGCUGAGUCCUAGUCCCAGGCUCAAGCCACUAAUGCAGGCCGGACCCUCCUCACAAGGUGUCUUCAGGUCACAAGUCAAUUCUAGGGGCUCCAGAUAUUCUGACUUCUUAGUCUCUCUUUGUUUUGCCUAAAGGGGAAAAAGGAGUCAAAGAUGGAAAAGCAGGAUGGGGAUGCUGAGACACCUUUUUAUUCAGGCAGGUUUUUAAAUAAGAAAGUUUGAAAGAAUGACAUUCUUUUAACAGAUUUUAAAUAUUUUAAGUUAUUUUCA
Long non-coding RNA from Anolis carolinensis (green anole), 980 nucleotides. RefSeq lists it as uncharacterized. The record is from RefSeq and is a predicted model, not a curated record. Lineage: Eukaryota; Metazoa; Chordata; Lepidosauria; Squamata; Anolidae. The transcript has 4 exons.